UGGAGAGAUAGCGAAGUGGCUAAACGCGGCGGACUGUAAAUCCGCUCCUUCGGGUUCGGGGGUUCGAAUCCCUCUCUCUCCAUC
This 84-nucleotide transfer RNA is filed under the name Streptococcus oralis. RNAcentral's name for it is "tRNA-Tyr". It matches the Rfam family "tRNA". From Rfam's summary of the family: Transfer RNA (tRNA) molecules are approximately 80 nucleotides in length. Their secondary structure includes four short double-helical elements and three loops (D, anti-codon, and T loops). The record is from RNAcentral. Lineage: Bacteria; Bacillati; Bacillota; Bacilli; Lactobacillales; Streptococcaceae.